Molecule: ribosomal RNA, 468 nt
Filed under: uncultured bacterium
Lineage: Bacteria
Description: partial 16S ribosomal RNA
Rfam family: Bacterial small subunit ribosomal RNA
Source: RNAcentral
GACGAACGCUGGCGGCGUGCUUAACACAUGCAAGUCGAACGGAAAGACCCUGCUUUUGUCUGUUGCUCGAGGGGCGGACGGGUGAGUAACACGUGAGUAACCUGCCCUUGACUUUGGGGUAACUUCAGGAAACUGGGGCUAAUACCUGAUAGGAGCUCCUGCGGCAUGGUGGGGGUUGGAAAGUUUCGGCGGUUGGAGAUGGACUGGCGGCUUAUCGGCUUGUUGGUGGGGUAGUUGCUUACCAAGUGUGCGACGGGUAGCCGGCAUGAGAGGGUGAACGGGGACCUUGCGCCUGCGAUAGGGACCAGAAUGGAAUGGUGGGCAGUAGUCGGGAGUCUUACACAGCGAGGCCACGUGUGAUACAAAAGCCUUGGGUUCGUGAUGCCGUCUUUUGGGUUAUAAACAGCUUUCGACUGAGACGAAGCGUGAGUGACGGUAACGGAUAAAGAAGCACCGGCUAACUACGUG